RNAcentral lists this ribosomal RNA (216 nucleotides) under uncultured bacterium. Its description in RNAcentral is "partial 16S ribosomal RNA". It matches the Rfam family "Bacterial small subunit ribosomal RNA", at positions 118 to 351 of the family's 1533-position model. The record is from RNAcentral.
UGGGAACGUACCUUUUGGUUCGGAACAACCCAGGGAAACUUGGGCUAAUACCGAAUACGUCCGUAAGGAGAAAGAUUUAUCGCUGAAGGAUCGGCCCGCGUCUGAUUAGCUAGUUGGUGAGGUAACGGCUCACCAAGGCGACGAUCAGUAGCUGGUCUGAGAGGAUGAUCAGCCUCACUGGGACUGAGACACGGCCCAGACUCCUACGGGAGGCAG